RNAcentral lists this long non-coding RNA (1299 nucleotides) under Anser cygnoides (Swan goose). Its description in RNAcentral is "lncRNA (ENSACDG00005004042.1)". Lineage: Eukaryota; Metazoa; Chordata; Aves; Anseriformes; Anatidae. The record is from RNAcentral.
AUGAACCCAAUCCCGUUCCUGCCAGCCCCACCAGGCUGUUUCUCCUGCUGGCCUUUGCUCACCCCUGCACCUCGCUGCAUCCCUCUCCCACCACCCGCAGCAUCCCCGUCCCGUCCCCAUCCGCGUCACGAGCGGCUCCGUUCUCCCCGCAUGCCUUGGACCGGAGCAGGGCAGGAUGAGCGCGGUGCAGCGGGGCCACGGCCCGGCGGCUGCCCCCGGGGCUCAGCGCGCAGGAAUGCUGUGAGUUUGCAAAGUGGUUUCAGCGAGACGUUAUCUAAUGAGGGAGGAGGAGGAGGGCGGAUUAAGCCAAACCCACAGCACCGGCUUUCAAUUAAACCGGGUGAAUUUACGGCUUCUCUUUCUGACACAGCAAACGCGGGCUCCGAGCAGCUGCUGGGCUCUCCCCAGGGUCCCGACCCGCCGGUCCCCUCCUUGCCCCAGCAGGGAAACGGAGCAGCAGCACACGGGCGCUCGCCCCGUGAAGCCGGAACCCCUCUGGGCUCCGCGUUUACUCACCAGCACCAUGCCAAGCCCAGGGACCCACGGGCGAUGCGGCGGUGGGUGCUGCGCCCCGGAGCCGGCCCCACCUCGGGGACACGGGCUGCAGGGGUGGGAGAGGUGGAGGGGAUGAGGAGGUGGAGACCUGGGAGGAGAAACCCCGCAGCAGCAGCUGCCGGAUGGGAGAGGUGCAGACGGCUUCGAGUAACGCCUCAGGACCCCCGAGAUGCAUCUGACGGAUGGGGGACGCUUGGCGGGGGCUCAGCCUGCCCAGGUGCUCCACCUGCCCGGCGUCCUCCCCUCCACGUCCCUGCAUCGGUCCCGCACCUCCUCCUGCCUCGGUUUCCCCCAUUUUCCUCAGUUUUUGCCCAUCCAGAGCGCGGAUGGGGCUGCCAGGGGCGGCAGGAGGAGCCGGGCGAGCCGGAUGAGCCAAGCCAGGAUCUCGCAACCGGGGCUGGGAGCAUCCCGCCGGCGCUGCGGGCCAGGGCUGGGCACGGGGCGCAGCCGCGCGUGUGCCACGGCACGCCUGGCGCCUGCCGCUGCCAACCCACCGUGGGGGAAAAUGCCCCAAAAUGGUCCAGGGAGGGGCCAGGACCUCUCAUCCUGCCACCCCCGGCAUCCCAGCGCUGCUGGUGCCCAUGCGACCCCAAAAAGCACCCCGAGUCCUUUUGGCCACGGCAUGAGCAUCGCCCCGAGCGCCGGCUCUGGGAGAUGCGGCUCCCGGGGGGGUCGUGGUGCCACGCAGCCCCCCCCCAGCCCCACGGUGCCACCCUGGAUGCAGGCACCCAGCCAGGCCGGUGA